This 468-nucleotide ribosomal RNA is filed under the name uncultured bacterium. RNAcentral describes it as "partial 16S ribosomal RNA". It matches the Rfam family "Bacterial small subunit ribosomal RNA", at positions 28 to 507 of the family's 1533-position model. The record is from RNAcentral.
GACGAACGCUGGCGGCGUGCUUAACACAUGCAAGUCGAGCGGACAGGCCCUGCUUUUGUGGGGUGCACGAGUGGCGAACGGGGGAGUAACACGUGAGUAACCCGUCCCUGACUUUGGGGUAACUUCAGGGAACAGGGGCUCUUAUCGGGUAGAAGCUCUUGAUCCGUAUGGGGGGUUGGUAAAAUUCGGCGGUGGUGGAUGGACUAGCGGGUUAUGCGCUUGAUGGGGUGGUUGUGGUUUUCCCAGGCUAUGACGGGUAGCCGGCCUGAGAGGGCGACCAGCGACAUUGGGCCUAAGAUACGGCGCAGACGGCUACGGGAGGCAGCAGUGGGGAAUAUGGCACAGUGGGGGGAAGCCAGAGGCAGCAGCGCCGCGUGCGGGAUAACGGCCUUCGAGGUGUAAACCGAUUUGGCCUGUGACGAAGCGUGAGUGACGGUAAUGGGUAAAGAAGCACCGGCUAACUACGUG